GAUGAACGCUGGCGGCGUGCUUAACACAUGCAAGUCGAGCGAGUGAGUUCUUCGGAACGAUCUAGCGGCGGACGGGUGAGUAACACGUGGGCAACCUGCCUCAUAGAGGGGAAUAGCCUCCCGAAAGGGAGAUUAAUACCGCAUAAAAUUAUCGAGUGGCAUCACAUGAUAAUCAAAGGAGUAAUUCGCUAUGAGAUGGGCCCGCGGCGCAUUAGCUAGUUGGUGAGGUAACGGCUCACCAAGGCGACGAUGCGUAGCCGACCUGAGAGGGUGAUCGGCCACGUUGGGACUGAGACACGGCCCAGACUCCUACGGGAGGCAGCAGUGGGGAAUAUUGCACAAUGGGGGAAACCCUGAUGCAGCAACGCCGCGUGAGUGAUGAAGGUCUUCGGAUUGUAAAGCUCUGUCUUUGGGGACGAUAAUGACGGUACCCAAGGAGGAAGCCACGGCUAACUACGUGCCAGCAGCCGCCGUAA
This 476-nucleotide ribosomal RNA is filed under the name uncultured bacterium. Its description in RNAcentral is "partial 16S ribosomal RNA". It matches the Rfam family "Bacterial small subunit ribosomal RNA", at positions 28 to 523 of the family's 1533-position model. The record is from RNAcentral.